CUCAUACAUGCAAGUCGAACGAGAUUUGAUGGAGCUUGCUCUAUCGAUGAGAGUGGCGCACGGGUGAGUAACGCGUGGGUAACCUGCCUCGAAGUUUGGGAUAACAUUGGGAAACCAAUGCUAAUACCGACUAAUUUUUAUUACUGUAUGGUGAUUUAAUAAAAGAUGCCCUCUUCUAUGGUAUCGCUUCGAGAGGGGCCUGCGUCCUAUUAGCUAGUUGGUGGGGUAACAGCCUACCAAGGCGAAGAUGGGUAGCCGGCUUGAGAGAGUGAUCGGCCACACUGGAACUGAGACACGGUCCAGACUCCUACGGGAGGCAGCAGUAGGGAAUAUUCCGCAAUGGGCGAAAGCUUGACGGAGCAAUACCUCGUGAGUGAUGAAGGCUUUAGGGUCGUAAAGCUCAGUCAGCAGGGAAGAAGGGUUAUGGUUCGAAUAGGGCUAUAGCUUUGACGGUACCUGCAGAGGAAGCCACGGCUAAUUACGUGCCAGCAGCCGCGGUAAUAC
Molecule: ribosomal RNA, 504 nt
Filed under: uncultured bacterium
Lineage: Bacteria
Description: bacterial SSU rRNA
Rfam family: Bacterial small subunit ribosomal RNA
Source: RNAcentral